Long non-coding RNA from Homo sapiens (human), 4834 nucleotides. RefSeq lists it as uncharacterized. The transcript is spliced from 3 exons. The record is from RefSeq and is a predicted model, not a curated record. Lineage: Eukaryota; Metazoa; Chordata; Mammalia; Primates; Hominidae.
GAGCCACCGUGCCUGGCCCAAAUUGUGUGUUUCUUAACGUAAACAUUGGGAGGGAGUUUGUCCUAAUGGAAAGAGGACCAAUAUCAGAGUUGGGGUAUCUGUGCUCUACUUUUGAUCUUUUUCAAGACAUAUUAUUUUAUAUAUAUUCUGUAUCUUUUUGGAUUGUGUACUAUCUUCCUAUAGCAAUGGUCCUCAACUGUGGUGAUUUUGUCUCCUAGAGGACAAUUAGCAAUGUUUGCAGAGAUUUUUUAUUAUUACAACUGGGGGAGAAGGAAGGUGCUACUGGUAUCUUGUUUGUAGAGGCCAAGGAUGUUGUUCAACACACUAAGAUGCAUGGAUACCCUCCCAACCCCAAAGAAUUAUCUGACUCCAAAUGCCAGUAGUGAGGUUGAGAAACACUGCCCAAUUAUGGUGUGGAAAAUUGAUGUUAGAGUUGCAAGCGAAAAAGCCAGAAGAUGAGUUAGGAGAAAAUGGCCACGGUCUAGGGGAGAGAUGAUGGUGCUUUAGACUAACAUAGAGGCAAUGGAAAUAGAAAAGUAGUGAGAUCUUACAUCAAUUUUGGAGAUAAAAGUGAUCUGAUAUUGAGAGGAAUUAUGUGUGGGAAGUGAGGAUGGUGUCAAGGAUGACUGCCGAGUUGCUAUAAUGACCUUCUACGUAAAUGGAGAUAGAGUUACUGAAAUGGAGACUUCCAGAGGAAUAAUAGAUAAUACUUAAAAUGGAUCUUAUUUUAUGUAAAUUCUGGUCUAAGUAUACUAACCCAUUUAAUCCUUAUAACAACCCAGCAAGAUAAGUGCUAUUAACAUCCCCUUUUUAUAAAUGAGAAUAAAGAGGCACAGACAGGUCAAGUAACUUGCUCAGGAUCACCAGCCAGUAGUAAGUGGGUUUUGAAUGCAUAAAGUCAAAUUCCAGAGUCUAUAUUCUUAACCACUACAUGAAUCCACCUUUUGGAAGAACAGAUCUAGAGAGAAAGAUCACAUCUCUUUCCAUGACUUCAUAUCCUUCAAUCCUAAGAUCAGAGUGCAUGGUCAAUCACUUUAAUAUUUUCCUGUGUAUUUUAACAUUUUCCUUGUGAAUAUUCCCAUUGUAUUCACAAGGAAACCCUCCCUCCCCCCAACUUGAACCAGUAAUUUUCCUGCUCUCAUACCAAGGUGCUGAACAUUGCUGGAGAAGUCCACAGAGCUUUGGCCACUGUUAUAAUUAUGAAGUCAUGAGCACACCUGUCCAUGGAACUCUCCAUAGCAGAUCAUUCUUCUAUUUCUCAAGAGCAUGUUCUGUCACACUUUCCACACUGCCUUCCCCAAAUUCACUCUGCUCAAGUCCCCCACUCCAUCCUCGUGCCUCCACACAGUCUGUAGAUAAUGCUGUACUUUAUUUCAUCACGAAAAUACAAGCACUGAGUUGAUACUGCUUCAUCCUCUGAACACUCCCUACCUAUAAACCAAUCUAUAUUCCCAUCCAUAGCUUCUUUCAUUCCCAAAUUAGUGAAAAAGGUAUCUUUCUUCCCAAGUAAGGUAAAUCCGUCCCUCAUCUUGUGCUCAGGAUUCCUUCUCAUUCGGCCUCCCCAUGGAUCAUUCUAACACUGUCUCAACUCUUCAAUUUCUCUGACUUGUUCUACACCUGCCCAGCACUUAAAGGAAAUAAUUUUUACAAUCACAAGGAGGAACAAGCCAGAGGCACUCUUGCCCUUAACAUAGGUCUACUCUGAUGUUGUAUUUUCCCCAUCCCCCAGUAUCUGGCCAAAUGAAUACAUGCAGGAGAUGAAAUAUGGAGAAAGAACAAAAGGACUAAUUCCACUUGUGAGAGAUGAAGGAACAGGAGCACUCUCAUGUUUCUUAGCCAGCAAAAAGAAACAUUAGAAGACAAGGACCAAGUGAAGGAGCCAGAGAAACAAGGUGCCCAUAUAAUAUAUAAUAUCAACAUUCAACCCUCGAGUACCUGAAUGUUGUAUCGCACUGCUGGACAAAGCACCAGAGCAGGCAUUGUCCUCUGGUACCAGGAACCAUCCAGUUUAUUACCAGCCUUUUGUUGGUAGCUCUUUUGCCCCAGAUAAUGUCCUAUUUGAUUUUGUCUUGACUAAGCACCUGCCUGUACCUACUGCCUUGUAAGAAACAAAAUCUGAAAGAAGGAAAAAGAAACAUGGUAGGAGCAUAAUAGCUGGCUGUUUAUUCACUGAAGGAGCAUUUAUAGAUCUUCUUUCUAUUUAGGACCCAGAAUGCACCAAAUACCACGAGUGGGACUUUUGUAGGGACCAGGUAUAAUCUUUCCUCUCAACAAUGGGUUACAGAUAUAUAAACAAACAUUCAUGCAAAGGAUUAUUUUAGGUGCUAUGAUAGAAAUCUUAAUUAGAUAUUGUGGGGAUAGAAAAGAAAGAGUUUAAUUUUGCAAGGAUGACCAAGAAAGGCAUAGAGUUGCUAAGCCUGGUUCCAUUUUGAAAGGCAGAGGUGGAGAAGGAUAUGUCCAUAUAGGGAAUGGCAAGAGCAGAGGGGCAGGGGCAUGACCCAGCCUGGAGAGGCUGCAGGUCUAAAUAUAGGCUACAGGGAUGGGCACAGGAAAAAUACUAAAGGUAUGUUUAAACCGUGUUUAAAACAUUGCGGAAUUUACCUCUUAGUGAAGCUAUGGCAGGCUUUUAAGCAAUGGGGUUCAGUGGGCAAAUUUACAUUCUAAAGAGAUCAUUCUAUCGUAUGAAACCUGCAUGAUUUGAGAAGGUUUCAAUGCACUGACAAGGAGUCUAGUGAAGAGAGAGCUGCAGUAGUCCAGGUGAGAACAAAGUCCACAUUGACAUGAAAAAGUGGAGAAAGUGGCAUGUCUAUGUGAUGAUGGAUUAGUUUUCUAUCAUGGCAUAACAAAACAUCACAAACUUGGUGACUUAAAACGGCACCCAUUUGUUAGCUCACAAUUCUGUAGUUCAGAAGACUGGGCCUGCUGUGGGUAUGUUCUCUGGACAGUGUCUCACAAAGUUGAAACCAAAGCGUCAGCUAGAGCUAUAGCUCUCAUCUGGGGCCAGAGGUCCACUUCCAACCUCAUUCAGGCUGUUGGCAGAAUUUAUUUUCUUGCAGUUGUAGGACUGCAGUCACAAUUUUCCUAGUAGCUGUCCCACGGUAGCCACUCUAAGCUGCUAGAAGCUGUCCCUCUCCAUCUAGAGUUCUCGACAUGGAUCUUCAUUUUCUUUUAGAGCUAUACUUCAUAGCUCUUCAUUUUCUUCAUGUUGGCUGGAUUGCAUCUCUCUGAUUUCCCUUUCUGUGACCAGCCUGAAUAAACUCUCUUCUUUUAAAGGACUUGGAUGUUUAGAUUACCCAGAUAACCUCUUUCCUUAAAGUUAUCUAUAUGAUAUUACCUAACCUAAUAUCAGGAGUAAAAUUAUUCAUAUUCACAGUCCCAGGGAUUAUGCAUGGUGUGUACAUGGCAGGAAAUCUUAGGAAGGGUCCUCUUAGAAUUCUGCCCCCCACAAAUGGUACAAAACAACAAUAACAAGAGUAAAAAGUAGACUAGAUAGACACUGUUUCCAAUUGCAUGAAGGAAGAAGAAAGAGGAAAAGACUCAGUGAUUUUUUUUGGCUGGGUGGUAUAAUUACCAGGGUAAGGAGGAUGAAAGGACAAAGGGGCUGGGAUUCUACUUUGGGCUUGGUGAGGUUGACGUGUCUGUGAGCUAUGCAGUUAGUCCAGGAGACAGUAGGAUUAGGAAUACAGGAAAAUAGUUGGGAAAGAAAUACAAGAUUUUUAGUUAGUAGCAGAUAGAUGCUAGGAACACCAUGGGACUGGAUAAAAUGGGUUUUAUUUUAAUUGUGUAAACUUCUCUGCAUUCCUAAACUAUAUGUUCCUUGAUGGCAGAUCUAUGUGUUUCCAUUUCUGUAUGUUGGGUGCCUUCCAUAUAGUAUGUGCUCAGGAAUGUUAUGGAUGGAUGAAUUGUUGAGAUUAUGCAGGUAAAACAUUCUAAGUAAAAAGUUAAGGGCUGAGAACAGAACCCUGGGCAAUGUCAGCAUUUAUGGAAUGAGCAAAGGAUGAAGAGUCCAUGAAGGGGGAAAAGUCAGGUGGAAAAUCAGAAGAGAGCAGUGCCUGCAAAAGACAGGAGGAGAGUCUCAAGAGGAAAAGCUACCAUGAAAACAAUACUGAACAUUUUACUGAACAAUUACUCUCUGCCAAGUAACGUGUGUGAAGUUUACUUAAUCCUCAAAAUAAUCCCAUGGUGUAGGAACUCUUUUUAUACAGAAGAGGAAGCUGGGGCCCAGAGACGUAAAAUUUUUCCUGGAUCACACUACUGGUCAACAAGAGAGAUGAACUCUAAGUCCUGGACACAUGACCCCAGAGCCGAAGCUCUUAAACACUAAAUUACACAGGUGUUCUACCCCUUCUCCCUUCUUGCUGAAGAGAAAAAACUCCUAACCAGGACAAACAGAAAACCCAGUGGAAGAAAUAGCAUUUGGCCCUUGAUAGAUGGGCUGUACUUUAGCAACGGAGCUGGAGGAAGCCCAGGUAGGUUUGCCAGAUUUAGCAAAUAAAAAUACAGGACACACAGUUAAAUCUGAAUUUCAGAUUAAGAUUUUUUCUUAGUAUAAAUAUGUCCCCAUUAUAUAGCAUGCUCCAAUCAGGCUAGAAUUUUUACUCUCCCUUUUUACUUCUACGCUUCAUAGCUCAUGCUCUUCAUCUCUACGGCACACUGUACCCUUUCUUUUUGCCAGUCUUAAUGUUACCCAUCCUCGAAGCCCCAUCCAUAUUAACUGUCAUUUGCCCAGCAUUCCUACCUAAAAAAUACAUUCAUAUGGAUGACCUCAUUUGAUUUACAAAGCACUCUUGCAAGUAAACAUGGUAUGCAUUAUUAACCCCUUGUGCAGAUGAGA